AAGUAGAGAAAGGAAAAAUCCUACCAGAAAAAAGCAUAAUAUAAAGCAUAAUAUAAUAUAUCCAUUCCUACAAAGUAUCUCCAGGGGUGUAAGUAGAUUUUCAAAGUAAUUUGUCAAGUCUGUGAAGAAAUACUUAUUAAAAAAACUUAAAUUUCAGACUGCUUCAAAGCACUGGCAGAUUUCUUACUGGUGCUCUGAGGAAAACUGACUCCCUAGUACCUUACCCUGGGGUGUUUGCAAGAGUUCUUAAUGCUCCAAAGCAGGUGGAGACUGGACCAAGAGGAACAUUAAGCUGAUGAAAUGUGACUAUUGUUCAUUGUUAUCUCUGUAGUAGUGUUGGAGUGAUUCUAGAAGUUAUGUGUCACCUAGGACCCUAAGCAAAAAGUUGUGCUUUUUGUACCCAGGCAAAUCAUUUAUUUGCCAAACUGAGGCCUCUGAUAUUUAGAGAAACAUGAGAAAUAAUUUUGGAAGGCUUCUAAAUAAUUUUAGGUAGUAGUUUUAAAAAGAAACCAUAUCAUUUGGUGUUGGCAAACUUUUCCAUUUAUCCAGUUAUUCUUGAGAAAUUAAUUUAUCGUUGUUAUUUAUAGUACACUUACUAUUAUUUAUGGAGUUUCUUGACCAAAUGUUUGGUUCCAUAGGGGGGAGAAAUUAAGACAUUUUAAAGUACUUGAUGUAUUGAAAUCACGUUCUAUAACAUUUUGGAGCAACCUACAGGAAUGUUACUGUCUUUUAAUCUUGUCCUUAAGAAAUUUAUUGUUUUCUUGCAAAUACUAGUACAGUUCUUGAUUAAAUAAUAUUCUCUUUAUUUGUUAGCCUCUCUAAGUUUUGUAUUUUAGAAACUGGAGAAUAUUCUUGAAGAAUGCUCAGCCCUGACAGGUGUUCCCCAGAGCUGAAUAAGCUGAUGAGGCAACCUGCUUGUCAAACUUGGUAGCACAGAAAAAUGCUAGUGCCUUGUUUGUGAAGUCUGACAGAAGUCUAAUUGAUAUUUCCACUAAACAUGAUUAUAGGGAACCUAUGAUGAAAAUACGAAUGAAGAUCCAACUUACAACCCAAACAAUACAGGCGGAAAAAAAAUCUUUAUGCAAUAUGCUGGUAAUAUGCUAUUUAAAUUGACACUUGGCACUACACAAGUUGAGCUACAUGAAAAUAUAUUUAGGUUUGAUGCACUGAAUAGGUUCACCAAUGUGAUAAGAUCAACAGAGGCCUAUUAAGAUACAGUAACAUACCAGACUGCAGCAGAGGUUAGCUCUUCAGCAAAAGCUUCUGAAGAAACAAUUGGAAAAAAUCAUAGCUAUCUGCAGGAAUAUAGAGUACCUCAAGUUAAUGACCUCUGGUUCCAUUUUUACUGGGGUUUAAAAAGAAGAUGGAAAUCCCAAAUUUAGUAAACAUCUUCAGCCAUAUUCGAGUAAGAAAACUGUAAAUUUACUGAUUUUUAAAAUUCAAAUUUGCCAUUGAUAUUUUUAUAUCAGAUAUAUUUUGUAGAUUUUUUAAUAUUUAAAUGAUAAUAUAUCUUUUAUAUAUUAAGUACUAAAAUAACUUUAGUGUUUUAAGCUAUUGUUGUGUUGCUACUUCUAAAAAAGAAAAAAAAAAACACAUUUUUUUUUAUCUUGUGGAGUUAAAACUGAAAGAGAACUACCUCUGUGGGGGUUUUUUGGACCAAAUUUCAAAUGUCAGCAUUUUCAAGAUGCACAGAAUGAGUAUUUUUAUGUCCAUGGGGGAACUGAGUUUGAUGUUGGUACUCUGUCAGUAAAGAAUAUUUCAUUAGAGAUCAUGAUUCUAGUUUGCUGUCUGUCUUGGAAUGGAUGCAUCUGUAUGUCUUUACAGCUAAUAAACUAUAAGAGAAUAUUGUACUUGGUUAAAAUUAGCAUCAGAGAUAAUGAAAGAACAUGCUUGCUCCAGGAGUUAAUAAGUUUGUCUAGAUUUACAUUGUUGCUUGAUUAUCUACGUAGUUCUUAUAGACCAGGCCAAUACAGAGUUCAGUACUUAAUUCUCAAGUGGCUAUGCUGUAAGAAUAUUUGUUGCUAAUACUGAACUGUACAAGCUGGCACAAGAUACCUUAAUUGUAAGGGCAGCAUUGCCCUAAAAGCAGCAUAGCCUUUAGGUGGCAUUUCUGGAUGGCACAAUAGCAGUCUGAAGAAUGAUCAAAACAGAUUCACCUGAGAAGGUUUAAACUAUUCCCUGAGGGAUGCUUCUCAUUAGACAUUGGUUUAAUUUGCUGUGAUGCGUGCAAAUGAUCUGUAUAAAGAGGCAAAGCACUAUUAAACAUGAAAUCAAAAUUGUACUUCAGCUUCCACGUUUGCUGAUCAUUGGUAAGGCUUCUGAAGCUGCAAUUCUAUUGGUCAUUUUACUGAUGUAAGCAGUUAGGUGUUGAUGUAAACAAUCCUUAUGGCUGAUUUAGUAACUGUUUUCUCAUAGGUCGCCUGUUGUGCAUCAGGCUAUAUAAAGCUCAGUUUUUUGACAUGGAUAUGCCAGGUAGAGAACAUUAUCCCGUUCCAGUGACGGAAUUUGAUAGUAAGAGGUAAGGGAUGUGCACAGUAAUACAGAUACUGUAGUAUAGUCUUUAAAAUAAUACAGGUCCUUUCUGAUUUCAGAUUGGCAUUUACUUAACUGAAAUUGUUCAGUAUACUAUGAAGGUUUGAGAGGAAUAAAGAUUCUUGUAGCUUAAGAAAAUGUAUUUUGAUUCCAGUUUGAUUUUUUUUUUUUUAAACAAAUGGCACUUACUAUCAAAUACUAGUUAAAGUUCUGUACAUACAGUACUGUUGUUGGCAACAUACAAGCUUGCUGGCUAAGUAUUAUGCAACCAUUUAUUUUGUAUAAUGCAGUUACUUUUUCUGCAAAUAAUUAAAUGAAAGUUCUGUAGAAACAAAUGAAAAACAUCAUUGUUCAUCAAAACAAAAACUUGGGGUUUUUGAUGCUUUAAAUUCAAGCAUGAGAAAAUAUCCUUACAAAAGCAUUACAAAACCAAGGUUUAAACUGUAAACAAGCAGAGACACUGGUGGGACGUUUUUUAAUUCCCUUAUUUGAGUGCUGUAAAACUUAAAAUGUCCUAUAGGAGGCAGCAGUUUUAUUAGUUCAUGUAAGAAAACUGCUCGUCUUGCUAUAGAUAUGUUAAAUUCCAAGUAAAAGUUUUCCAUUGUACUAACUACUCUAAAACUUACUCAAAUGUAUUUCAUGAAGAUAGAAUUUCAAGAUUAAAUUAUUUUUAGGUUUACAAUCUUAGCAGUUGUGUGACUGUUAUGGUUACUGAAUAUACUUUAAAAAUAAAAUGACUCCUGAAGUGAUAUAAAAUUAUUACAUUCUAUGGGUUUUAGUAAUAUCCAGAAGGUUAACAUGCAGUGAGGAUAAGGUGUAUAUAUUGUGUACAUUAUACCAGUGUGGGGCUGCAAGGCAUCUCCAGAAGUCAUCUAGUUUAUAGCCUUGUUGAGUGAAGAAUGAAGUAUUUGCAGAGCAGUCUGUUAUUUUAAUACGUAACAUGCACUGAUUGAGGAACCUGUUUCAAUAGGUAACAUACUCCAUUACUUCCCUUCCUUAAAAUAGAGAGCUUUUCCUAAUAGUUUUUUAAGCAUUUUCUGCAAAUUAAGCUAAAUACUUUAAUCUUUCCUGCAAUGAAGAGCAACUGAACACUGGUUUUAUGACACAUUUUAAUAGACUGAGAGUUCUUCAGUAUUAUCACCUUCAUUGUUUUAGUUAGCCUGUGGCUGCAGCAGAAAAACCCAGCCCUGUAUUUUUCUCUUAUGUGUUAUUCCUAUAAUAAAGACCAAGUAUAAAUAAAGACUCUCUUAGCACUGUA
Long non-coding RNA from Harpia harpyja (harpy eagle), 3790 nucleotides. RefSeq lists it as uncharacterized. Lineage: Eukaryota; Metazoa; Chordata; Aves; Accipitriformes; Accipitridae. The record is from RefSeq and is a predicted model, not a curated record. The transcript is spliced from 2 exons.